Manacus vitellinus (golden-collared manakin) is the source of this 832-nucleotide long non-coding RNA. RefSeq lists it as uncharacterized. The transcript has 4 exons. The record is from RefSeq and is a predicted model, not a curated record. NCBI's taxonomy places the organism in Eukaryota, Metazoa, Chordata, Aves, Passeriformes, Pipridae.
CCGCGCCCCCCCGGCCGCGCCGCCAUUACAGCGCCGGCCGCGCUCCGCCGGCCGUGAGGCGAGAGAAAGCGGCGGGGUUUCUGAGCGAGAUAAAAAUCUUAUUAUGCAACGCACAUUUUUAAUAGAUUAGUGCCGAGUCCAGGGGUGAGUCUCCAGAGCCAUCUGAAAACGUUCUGCUUGUGCUCAAUCUCAAGAAACUCGAUACAGUCCCAAGGGUAAAAAAACCACAUUUAAAGGAUGGUCUCGGUUAUAUUUAGCUGAGCAGCAGCACAGGCUGAGACGAGCAGAAACACAAGGAAGAACAAAGUGGAAACGCUCGACAGUUGGUAACAAAAACCUGCGAGUAUCUGAGGUGGAUUUUUUUUUAAUUUUCCUUUCCCUAAUUCACAUUUCGCUGUGCACAGAGAACAUCAAAGCAGCACAUGGGUUUAUGUGAACAAAAGGAGCGUGCUCAACCCUGUCGUUCUAACCAGAAGACAUGAAAAAUAUGCAGCUCAUCUCUACAGCGCAAAAUUUAUGUGGAAUUACUGAACCUCGACAAAAGCCAUCUCACAAAUUCUUCAAUAAAGACUAAACAGCUACAUUUAACCUCAUUUUUUCCCGAUUUUUCAUCUGUUCUCAGCACAGGCAUCUCCAAACCCUCUCAAAAUCCCAAAUCCCAGCUAAAUCAGUGAUUCAUCACUUCUGGCAGCAACGAAGCGGGAAGGAGGAGAUGAAGACAAUGCUCUUGAGAACCACAAGCAAGGAAGCCCAAACUUCUCCUUCACCACCUUUCUGCUUGUUUCUCACAGCUCACACAGGACAGUGCCAGGCACAAACAUUCCCACUGGUG